AUGAACGCUGGCGGCGUGGAUAAGGCAUGCAAGUCAAACGGUUCUAUUUUGCGAUUACAUCAAGAGAUAGCGCAGUGGCAAACGAGUUAGUAAUACCUUGGUUACGUACCCCGAAGUCGGGCAUAACGAGUCGAAAGAUUCAUUAAUUCCCGAUGGUAUAGAAAUAUUAAAGUCGCAAGACGCUUCGGGAGCGACCUAGGUCCUAUCAGCUAGUUGGCGGGGUAAUGGCCCACCAAGGCUAUGACGGGUAGGGGGUGUGAGAGCACGGCCCCCAACGAGGGAACUGAGACACGGUCCUUACAUCUACGGAUGGCUGCAGUCGAGAAUAUUCGACAAUGGACGAAAGUCUGAUCGAGCGACGCCGCGUGCAGGAAGAAGGCCUUCGGGUCGUAAACUGCUUUUGCGUGGGAAGAAUUUUGACGGUACCACGAGAAUAAGGGGUUGCUAACUCUGU
Molecule: ribosomal RNA, 454 nt
Filed under: uncultured bacterium
Lineage: Bacteria
Description: bacterial SSU rRNA
Rfam family: Bacterial small subunit ribosomal RNA
Source: RNAcentral